Molecule: long non-coding RNA, 3700 nt
Organism: Ruditapes philippinarum (Manila clam)
Lineage: Eukaryota; Metazoa; Mollusca; Bivalvia; Venerida; Veneridae
Exons: 6
Source: RefSeq, a predicted model, not a curated record
AGAGGCAGGUGGUCAAUGGUAUGAGGGAUUUAUUCACAGAGGAUAGGAAUCGAAACGUAUGUUCUUCAUGUAUGAUUACAGCUGGGACAUGACUCCAGUUACCUCACCGAAAAGUUUUGUACUACUACCUGACUACUACCUACUUGGUGAAUUGGAGCAGAUUUGAAUUCUUUCAACAGUUCAAGCUCGCAAUAAUUGAAUGGGAUACAAAUCGUUGACACAAUCUUACCGUGUAAGUUGUGAUGAAAGAUGAAGGCGAUUUUUGAUGGUGUUGUUGGUGAUGGUGGUAAUGGUGGUGGCGGUGUUGGUAGUGGUGAUGAUGAUGGUGGUGAGGAUGAUGGUGGUGGUUGUGGUGGUAGUGGUAGUGGUACAACUACUGCAGGGUGUGUGGAUGUUUACGGCGGUGGUCUUGAUAAUUUGUUGUUAGAAGAUUGUUAUUGUGGUCAACUUAAAAAGGUAAGGGUAAUUUUCGUUUUUCAUCAGUUUGGUAAUUUUCAGAUUUUAACCUUUAUUACGAAUUUAGUUUCAGGACAGUCGAAAAUACUGUGAAGAGAAACAUUUUUCCACAUAUGCUGCACGUAUUAUGGCAGUUGAAUUAAAACACCAUUACUGUUGAAAGCUAUUUCAGUUUGAAAAAAAUGGCUUAAAUUUAUACUGUCUAUAUCAAAUAACAAAAUAUCUAUACAUAUCAAUACGUACGUAUGAGAGUGUAAAAGUUGCGCAUGUGCAAACAAAUAUUUUAUUCAGAUUAUGAACAAGAAACCGUGAAUUCUGUUCAUUUUGAUUUUGGUGUUGUUUUUGUUGUUACAAUUGCACUUCAUUGUUACUUUGGAAUGUGGCUUUGGUUGAUUUUGAUAGGGUUGUAUUUGGUUGGCUUUGUUUUAUUGUUCUUGUUGCUGUUUUGUUUAUUUUGACUGCUUUGUUCUAUUAUUUGUCUAGAUUUGUUUGUUUUCGUUUGUUCUUGUUGUUGUUUCAUAUAAUGUUGUUGCGUUUUACGAGGGUUGUACAUGUAUUGGUACAUGAUGUCAUAGAUGGUUUAUUCAUGGUUUUUGUAAGUUCAUGUAUUCAACUCAUAGUAAUUGUUUUGUAUCUUUUUACAUGUAUAUAUUACUUUAUGUAUAUAUACAAUAUACGCGUAUUUGGAAAUACGAAUUUGUGUCUAUAUAAGUGAUUGGCACUGAUGCAUUUAAAAAAAAAAUUGUCAUUUACAGUGCCACCUCUGUACAGCGGCCUACUGCAGAGCUAUACCAUACCAUUUAAACAACAUUGGACCAAACCUUUGUAGAGCAACGCCUAUCAACAACAGCCAGAAUCUGUGUCUCCCAAAAGGUUGUUAAUAUGACGAGGUUUUACUGUAUCCAGUAAUUUUAAUUGUAAACUCAUGUUUUAUAAACUUUUAUUUUAUGUUAUCGUAAUAACCUUGGAUGUUUCAGGAGAAGAAGAUCCAUGAUCGUAUGAAUGUUUCACAGCUUACUAGAACUUUGCUGAAUGGAAAUGUUUGCAGUUUUCAAGAGAAAUAUUGUUUUAUUGACAAUGUAUUAGAUUUAUCGAAAUGUUUAAUAUAUGGUUUUUUUUAUUGAUUAUGUUGACUGAUAAAAUAUUUCUUUUAGUAAGGAUGAAUGACCUUGUACCACCAGCGAACAGGAUGCCAUUGCAUUAAUGACCUUGACCUUGAGUAUAAUCAUAUCAGAAGACAGUCAGAGGAUAUACAAUACAGGAAUUGGGUAUACAAUACACGGAAUUGGGUAUACAAUACACGGAAUUGGGUAUACAAUAAAUGGAAGUGGGUAUACAAUACACGAAGCUUAAAUUAAUGUACAAAAAUUCAUUUAAGGCAAGAGCGUGACCUCUAAAUUGUGUGCAAGUCAUAUGUAUGGUAAGCAAACCAAAAUCCUAUGUGAUUUAUAACAAGUUCAAGAAUGAUCUGCAAUAUUUAAUGCCGUUAUAAUGACAUGGUUUAUAUUUUCCUAAUUUUGAUACUACCAGUUUUAACUUAGAUUAUUUAUGAGGACGAUAUUUGGUGGUGUAAGCUAAAUUGCAACGGUUUCCUACUUUAUUUAACUAAAGUAUCGAGAAUUUAAUGUGAUAGGCUUCUUAAAAAACAAAUGUGAUUCCGUGUUUAAGAUAAUGAAUAUUUAUUAACUUAACAUUACAUUUUACCAUAAUGAAAAUGCAGCAAUUUGAACAUGUAAAUGAUAGUUGUUUCACAGGUAGCAAGUUGUUAAUGGUGCGGGAUUUGUUUGGAAAAGACAAUACAUUAAUGAUGUGGCUCAGUUACCUACCCUGAAGUUUGGUUUUAUGAAAGUUGACCGGGUAGAUUUUGUCCUUCAAGUUGGUUUACAGGUAGUCAAUGAUAUGGGAUUGGUUGCAGUGGCGUAGAAAAGAAAUGUAUGUACUUCAGUUACGAUAACUGCUAGGAUGACCCCAGUUACCUCCCUUGAAGUGAUGUACUAUUAUGGACAAGAGCAUUUUUUCGUCUUCCAAGGUAGCAGGUGGUCAGUGAUAUGGGUUCUGGCGGAGGAGAGGUAGCUCAAUGCAAACCGCAACUUCUCGGCCCUUUCCGUCAGUCUUCGGGAUAAUUAUGAAUAAUCGUCGAGCUGUUCCGAUUGGCGAAAUGUACGUCUGCUGUGGUGUGAUUCCAGUUACCUCCCUUGAAAAUCUGUUGGGGAAUAAUUAUGUGAUUGGAGCUGAUAUUUUAUCGUUCAAGAUCAAUGUCGAAGUAACAAGAGAUCAUGGCAAGACCAGCAUUGGUGAUCUACGACACAUAGAUAGAAUCCCUGUGAAACUGAAACAGAUUUAUGUUUAAGGUAAUGCUAAUUAAAACAAUUCCUUUUAAUGCAUUUGUACAUAUAUGUAUUUUACCCUAAAUCUGCUGAUUUGGAGUCAUGGAAUUGCCAGUCUUUGACAUUGGGACAGCCCAUUCAAAGUAAAAAUGAUUUCAAUAUCAAAAUUCAAAAAAGAGCAUAUACUGCAUUCCAAGAGAUAAAAAUGGUAAAGGAGCUCCAAUGAGGUACCAAAGCCUAAAAACACAAACUUUGAAAAUCUUACACCAAGCACUUAAAAAAAGAAGAAAAAAUAUAUAAAGAAAAUAUUCAGAAAACAUAUCCAAAAUGAAACUGAAAUCUAUCAAUAUUUAGUGCUAUCCUUAGCCCGUUUUGAGUAAAAAACAUUUUAUAGUUUUUCAUUUUUUGGACAUUUUGCACAUUGAUAUUUUUUUAAACGUCAUUGAGUUAUUUGAAAUUUUGUACACUAGUUAUUAGUAAAGACCUACAUCAAAUGGUUUUAAAUCUUCAGAAUAUGUUUCCUGUCCCGUGAUAUCAAAAUAUUUCAGUGGAGUCCCUUUAAACCGUCCCUUGAACCAUUUGUGAUUCUACUUGAAUAAACAUUGUAUUUUUACAUAGUAAAAAUGUGUACCAAUUUAAUAAUGAAAAUUAAAUGAAAUAUUUUGGCGUCUAAACGAUGAAGCUGUGGACUUGUAUGAUGAUUAAUAUAGAAGUUUUAUGUGGUCAUUGUUAUGUGCAGUGAAUUGUUAUCCUUUACCGGAACAUGGUAUUGCCAUGGCGUUGUCCGUCUUUCCGUCCGUACAUAGAAAUAGCUGAAAAUUGGCAGGGUUGUUUACCUGAAUAGCAAGGAAAUUGUUUUGUUCAAAAUUGACAUUAAAGCUAAUGAAGGCAUGGUGAAUCUGUAAUGUCACCAUAAU